This 602-nucleotide long non-coding RNA is filed under the name Homo sapiens (human). RNAcentral's name for it is "non-protein coding lnc-PPIE-1:8". Lineage: Eukaryota; Metazoa; Chordata; Mammalia; Primates; Hominidae. The record is from RNAcentral.
AAUAAAUAAAUAAAUAAAAAUUUAAAAAAACUAAAAAGCAAGCAACAACAACAACAAAUUACACUAAUUGUCCCCCAAAUUACCUUUACAGGCCCAGCAUCCAAUUCAGUCGCCUUCAAGGAGUCUCUUCAGUCUAAUUUAUUCUAGAACAAUUCUUCAGGCUUCCCUUCUCUGGCCAAGAUUUUUGAAAAAUACAGGUCAAUGACUUUGUAGGUUGUCUUCAGUUUGGAUUUGUCUGCUGUGUCCUCAUGAUUUAUGCAUCUCUGGCAGGAAUACCACAGAAACGAUGCGACAUUCUUCUCAGUGUACCAUAUUAGGAGUCACACAAUGUCAACUUGUCCCAUUACUGCUGAUGUUAAUGUUUACCACUUGGCUAAGAUGAUGUCUGCCAGGUUUCUCCACUGGAAAGUUAACAGUAUUUAGUACGUGUUAAGUGAUGAGUAAUGAAUAAAUAUUUCAUAGGGAGAUGUUCUGAGAGUAUAAAAAUAUCCUGUUCCAUAUCAAAGUUGCUUCACCCAGUUUCAACCCAAAUCAAUUACUACUACGAUGGUUGCCAAGUGAAGAUUUUCCCUUUUUUUAUUUUUAUUUUUAUUUUUUUAAGA